Molecule: RNase P RNA, 333 nt
Filed under: Bacillota bacterium
Lineage: Bacteria; Bacillati; Bacillota
Description: Firmicutes bacterium (anaerobic digester metagenome) RNase P RNA component class A
Rfam family: Bacterial RNase P class A
About the family: Ribonuclease P (RNase P) is a ubiquitous endoribonuclease, found in archaea, bacteria and eukarya as well as chloroplasts and mitochondria. Its best characterised activity is the generation of mature 5'-ends of tRNAs by cleaving the 5'-leader elements of precursor-tRNAs. Cellular RNase Ps are ribonucleoproteins.
Source: RNAcentral
UAAGUGAAUUAGAUGAUCGCGGGAUUAUUCCUGAGGAAAGUCCGAGCUCCACAGGGCAGGAUGCUGGGUAACACCCAGUGGGGGCAACCCUAAGGAAAGUGCCACAGAAACAUACCGCCUGAACAGGUAAGGGUGAAAAGGUGAGGUAAGAGCUCACCAGCGACUAGGUGACUAAUCGGCUAGGUAAACCCCAUCCGGAGCAAGGCCAAAUAGGGGAGAAGGAAUUGCCCGUUCCGCUAUACUCUCGGGUUGGCCGCAUGAGACAUUAGGUAACUAGUGUCCCAGAUAGAUGAUCAUCCUCGACAGAACUCGGCUUAUAAAUUCACUUAGCAG